UUUCCGUAGGUGAACCUGCGGAAGGAUCAUUAUUGUAUAACCGAGGUGCGAGGGCUGUCGCUGACCCGAAAGGUCGUGCACGCCCGAGUGCCCUCACACACAUCCAUCUCACCCUAUGUGCACCACCGCGUGGGUCCCCCUUUGGCUUGUUCGGAGGGGGGCUUACGCUUUCACACAAACUUUGUAUGCAGUGUAGAAUGUAUUUUUUGUUUUUGCGAUCACGCAAUCAAUACAACUUUCAACAACGGAUCUCUUGGCUCUC
RNAcentral lists this unclassified non-coding RNA (262 nucleotides) under plant metagenome. Its description in RNAcentral is "partial contains small subunit ribosomal RNA, internal transcribed spacer 1, and 5.8S ribosomal RNA". The record is from RNAcentral.